RNAcentral lists this ribosomal RNA (328 nucleotides) under uncultured Chloroflexota bacterium. RNAcentral's name for it is "bacterial SSU rRNA". It matches the Rfam family "Bacterial small subunit ribosomal RNA", at positions 28 to 351 of the family's 1533-position model. Lineage: Bacteria; Bacillati; Chloroflexota. The record is from RNAcentral.
GAUGAACGCUGGCGGCGUGCUUAAUACAUGCAAGUCGAACGAAGAGCUUUUGUAGCAAUACGGAGGCUCUUAGUGGCGAACGGGUGCGUAACGCGUUGGUGACCUGCCCCGAAGUGUGGGAUAACAGUUCGAAAGGACUGCUAAUACCGCAUGUGAUCAUCAGUCUUAGAAUCUGUUGAUUAAAGCAGUAAUGCGCUUCGGGAGGGACCUGCGUCCCAUCAGCUAGUUGGUGAGGUAAUGGCCCACCAAGGCUACGACGGGUAGGGGACCUGAGAGGGUGACCCCCACAAUGGAACUGAAACACGGUCCAUACACCUACGGGAGGCAG